RNAcentral lists this ribosomal RNA (430 nucleotides) under Dysdera ambulotenta. RNAcentral describes it as "partial 16S ribosomal RNA". It matches the Rfam family "Bacterial large subunit ribosomal RNA", at positions 1817 to 2600 of the family's 2925-position model. Lineage: Eukaryota; Metazoa; Arthropoda; Arachnida; Araneae; Dysderidae. The record is from RNAcentral.
AGCUUUAUGCCAUCACAUCAAGUAACUCCUGCUCAGUGAAUAUUAACAGCCGCAGAAUUUUAUACUGUGCUAAGGUAGCAUAAUCACUUGUCUUUUAAUUAAAGAAUAGAAUGAACGGAAAAACGAAUUUAAGCCUGUUUCACUUAUUUCUAAUAAAAUUACCAAAAAGUAACAAACCUUUUUUUUAAAAAAAAGACGAUAAGACCCUAAAGAACUUUACUAAAGUUACGCUGGGGCGGCUUUUUAAAAAAAUCUUAUAUAAAAAUUCUUAACUCCUUCAUUAAUUCCACAACGUUACCUUAGGGAUAACAGCAUAAUUUAAUUUUACAGCUCUUAUUUAAAAUUAAGAUUAUGACCUCGAUGUUGAAUUAAAAAUCUUUUACACGAAAAAAAUUAAAAAGAAAGUCUGUUCGACUUUUAAUUAUUUACA